AGCAGCCGCGGUAAUUCCAGCUCCAAUAGCGUAUAUUAAAGUUGUUGCAGUUAAAAAGCUCGUAGUUGAAUUUCGGGGUUAGUAGGUUGGUCAUGCCUCUGGUAUGUACUGGUCUCACUGAUUCCUCCUUCCUGAUGAACCUUAAUGCCAUUAAUUUGGUGUUUGGGGAAUUUGGACUGUUACUUUGAAAAAUUAGAGUGUUUAAAGCAAGCUAACGCUUGAAUACAUUAGCAUGGAAUAAUGAAAUAGGACGUUCGAUCCUAUUUUGUUGGUUUCUAGGAUUGACGUAAUGAUUAAUAGGGAUAGGUUGGGGCAUUAGUAUUCAAUUGUCAGAGGUG
RNAcentral lists this ribosomal RNA (338 nucleotides) under uncultured Glomus. Its description in RNAcentral is "SSU rRNA". It matches the Rfam family "Eukaryotic small subunit ribosomal RNA", at positions 569 to 913 of the family's 1831-position model. Lineage: Eukaryota; Fungi; Glomeromycota; Glomeromycetes; Glomerales; Glomeraceae. The record is from RNAcentral.